AGAGAAGUGGCAGAAAUUGUGAGUAGUUUGAAACUAUUUUAUGAGAGUUUAAUCUCUUUUUCUCUU
This 66-nucleotide transfer RNA is filed under the name Xenoturbella churro. RNAcentral's name for it is "tRNA-Ser". It matches the Rfam family "tRNA". From Rfam's summary of the family: Transfer RNA (tRNA) molecules are approximately 80 nucleotides in length. Their secondary structure includes four short double-helical elements and three loops (D, anti-codon, and T loops). Lineage: Eukaryota; Metazoa; Xenacoelomorpha; Xenoturbellidae. The record is from RNAcentral.